Molecule: long non-coding RNA, 489 nt
Filed under: Sus scrofa (pig)
Lineage: Eukaryota; Metazoa; Chordata; Mammalia; Artiodactyla; Suidae
Description: lncRNA (ENSSSCG00055000111.1)
Source: RNAcentral
AUGCAUGCUUGUGUGUUCACAAGAGAAGAGCAUUUCUUUUGGCCGGUUGUAGGCAAACAUUACUUAUACCAUGUUUUGGCGUGCAGUAAUUGUUGGCCCCAGGCUUGGAGCAGGAGCUUGGGUAAUCAUGGGAGAUGCGAAGCAGUGAGUGCGACAGUGCCAACGAAGUGCUUAAUCCAUGCAGGCUGGGAGAAGCAGAAGGAGAUGUUGCUCAUCCAGUUCCACCUUGUUCGUUUCAUGUCCCGUGCUGUUGCCCAGCUGGGAUCCUUGAGGACAAACACAUCACUGUGUCCUGGCCCCUCCCCAGGGCUGUGCAUGCACUGGCCAGUGAAGCAAGAGAGAGCAAAGUGGGAUGAUCUGUCACUACACCUGCAGCACCACGUUCGGAGGACAGCUCCUGCUCGCAGCUUCUAGACCCAGGUAAACCUCCCCCAAAACCGAAACAAUCCCCUCCCCCCACAACAAACUGAGCGGGCAUGGUGCAUGCAU